AGAGUUUGAUCCUGGCUCAGGAUGAACGCUAGCGGCAGGCUUAAUACAUGCAAGUCGAGGGGCAGCAGGUUUGUAGCAAUACAGAUGCUGGCGACCGGCAAACGGGUGAGGAACACGUACGCAACUUUCCUUCAAGUGGGGGAUAGCCCAGGGAAACUUGGAUUAAUACCCCAUAAUAUUACGAAGCGGCAUCGUUUUGUAAUUAAAGCUCCGGCGCUUGAAGAUGGGCGUGCGCCUGAUUAGGUAGUUGGCGGGGUAACGGCCCACCAAGCCUACGAUCAGUAACUGGUGUGAGAGCACGACCAGUCACACGGGCACUGAGACACGGGCCCGACUCCUACGGGAGGCAGCAGUAAGGAAUAUUGGGCAAUGGACGAAAGUCUGACCCAGCCAUGCCGGUGGAGGAUGAAGGUCCUCUGGAUUGUAAACUUCUUUUAUCUGGGAAGAAAUCUACGGUUUCCACUGUAGUUGACGGUACCAGAUGAAUAAGCACCGGCUAACUCCGUGCCAG
RNAcentral lists this ribosomal RNA (511 nucleotides) under uncultured bacterium. Its description in RNAcentral is "bacterial SSU rRNA". It matches the Rfam family "Bacterial small subunit ribosomal RNA", at positions 8 to 511 of the family's 1533-position model. The record is from RNAcentral.